UUUCAAGGAGGCAGCGGGGGGGAUCGACUUCCUGGGGGUAG
RNAcentral lists this transfer RNA (41 nucleotides) under Ulmus lamellosa. Its description in RNAcentral is "partial tRNA-Glu". Lineage: Eukaryota; Viridiplantae; Streptophyta; Magnoliopsida; Rosales; Ulmaceae. The record is from RNAcentral.